GUGUUAUAUGAAAGGAGAAAAGGUUAGCACUCCCCUUGACAAGGAUGGAAGAGGCCCUCACACCUGACAGCAUGCAUACAAUUAAGGCAUUGCCACCUAUUUUUUCCUACCUAUCAUUUUUA
This is a small nuclear RNA of Ictidomys tridecemlineatus (thirteen-lined ground squirrel), 122 nucleotides long. Lineage: Eukaryota; Metazoa; Chordata; Mammalia; Rodentia; Sciuridae. The record is from Ensembl.